GAUGAUGCAUAGCCCGAGUUGAGAGACUGAUCGGCCACAUUGGGGACUGAGACACGGCCCAAACUCCUACGGGAGGCAGCAGUAGGGAAUCUUCCACAAUGGACGCAAGUCUGAUGGAGCAAACGCCGCGUGAGUGAAGAAGGGUUUUCGGGACUCGUAAAGCUCUGUUGUUGGUGAAGAAGGAUAGAGGUAGUAACUGGCCCUUUAUUUGACGGUAAUCAACCAGAAAGUCACGGGCUAACUACGUGCCAGCAGCCGCGGUAAAU
RNAcentral lists this ribosomal RNA (266 nucleotides) under uncultured Lactobacillus sp. RNAcentral's name for it is "partial 16S ribosomal RNA". It matches the Rfam family "Bacterial small subunit ribosomal RNA", at positions 275 to 525 of the family's 1533-position model. Lineage: Bacteria; Bacillati; Bacillota; Bacilli; Lactobacillales; Lactobacillaceae. The record is from RNAcentral.